Ochotona princeps (American pika) is the source of this 100-nucleotide small nuclear RNA. The record is from Ensembl. NCBI's taxonomy places the organism in Eukaryota, Metazoa, Chordata, Mammalia, Lagomorpha, Ochotonidae.
GUGCUCGCUUCGGCAGCACAUAUACUAAAAUUGGAACGAUACAGAGGAGAUUAGCAUGGCCCCUGCACAAGGAUGAUUCUAUGAAGAAAAUACUAAAUAA